This 377-nucleotide ribosomal RNA is filed under the name uncultured bacterium. Its description in RNAcentral is "bacterial SSU rRNA". It matches the Rfam family "Bacterial small subunit ribosomal RNA", at positions 521 to 896 of the family's 1533-position model. The record is from RNAcentral.
UAAUACAGAGGUCCCGAGCGUUGUUCGGAUUCACUGGGCGUAAAGGGUGCGUAGGUGGUGAGGUAAGUCGGAUGUGAAAUCUCCGGGCUCAACCCGGAAAUGGCAUUGGAAACUACCUUGCUGGAGGAUUUGAGGGGGGAUUGGAAUACUUGGUGUAGCAGUGAAAUGCGUAGAUAUCAAGUGGAACACCAGUGGCGAAGGCGAAUCCCUGGAAAAUACCUGACACUGAGGCACGAAAGCUAGGGGAGCAAACAGGAUUAGAUACCCUGGUAGUCCUAGCCCUAAACGGUGCUUGCUUGCUGUAAGAGGAAUCGACCCCUCUUGUGGCGGAGCUAACGCGUUAAGCAAGCCGCCUGGGAAGUACGGUCGCAAGAUUA